AAUAGAUACCCAGGUAGUCCACGCCGUAAACGAUGAGUGCUAAGUGUUAGAGGGUUUCCGCCCUUUAGUGCUGCAGCUAACGCAUUAAGCACUCCGCCUGGGGAGUACGGCCGCAAGGCUGAAACUCAAAGGAAUUGACGGGGGGCCCGCACAAGCGGUGGAGCAUGUGGUUUAAUUCGAAGCAACGCGAAGAACCUUACCAGGUCUUGACAUCCUCUGACACUCCUAGAGAUAGGACGUUCCCCCUUCGGGGGACAGAGUGACAGGUGGUGCAUGGUUGUCGUCAGCUCGUGUCGUGAGAUGUUGGGUUAAGUCCCGCAACGAGCGCAACCCUUGAUCUUAGUUGCCAGCAUUCAGUUGGGCACUCUAAGGUGACUGCCGGUGACAAACCGGAGGAAGGUGGGGAUGACGUCAAAUCAUCAUGCCCCUUAUGACCUGGGCUACACACGUGCUACAAUGGAUGGUACAAAGGGCUGCAAGACCGCGAGGUUUAGCCAAUCCCAUAAAACUAUUCUCAGUUCGGA
This 524-nucleotide ribosomal RNA is filed under the name uncultured bacterium. RNAcentral's name for it is "bacterial SSU rRNA". It matches the Rfam family "Bacterial small subunit ribosomal RNA", at positions 777 to 1297 of the family's 1533-position model. The record is from RNAcentral.